Long non-coding RNA from Perognathus longimembris pacificus (Pacific pocket mouse), 245 nucleotides. RefSeq lists it as uncharacterized. Lineage: Eukaryota; Metazoa; Chordata; Mammalia; Rodentia; Heteromyidae. The record is from RefSeq and is a predicted model, not a curated record. The transcript is spliced from 3 exons.
GUUCUUAUGAUCAAAGUUUCAGUCAGGUAACCUUUAAAAAAUUUAUUUUUAAUUAGUUCAUUUUUUAAUUAGUUUAUUUUUGGUACUGGGAAUUGAACUCAGAGCCUUGCACUCUGGCUCAGCUUUCUUGGUAUGGACAGUGCUGUACUAUCUGAGCUACUACCAAUCUGAUAUUCUGUUAGUUAAUUGGAGAUGGAGUCUCUCAGACUUCUCUGCUCUGGCUGGCUUUAAAACCUGAUCUUCUA